Cyprinus carpio (common carp) is the source of this 1480-nucleotide long non-coding RNA. The record is from Ensembl. Lineage: Eukaryota; Metazoa; Chordata; Actinopteri; Cypriniformes; Cyprinidae.
ACUAUCCAGGCCAUAAUUUGACCCCUAAAUCAGAAGAAUUUUUUUUAUUAUUAAUAUACAUAUAAAUAUAAUAAAAAUACAUUUAUUUUAGUUGUUAACGUACACUGUAAAAAGUCAUUCUGUGGGUUUGUAGAUUUCAUUUAAUUUAAUGUGUAAACUAUUUAACAAAAUUAAUUUCUUGCUUUUUUAAACAUUUUUUGAAUUAAAACUAAUUAAAAAUGUCUAGAAUAAAACCUACUCAAUUUUGUUGUUAAGGAUUUAGCUAUUAUUUUUGAAUAAUUUCAAAUAGAGAGAUUAUUGAAUGAAUCCAACAUGAUGGAAAUAAGUUGGUUUCAAUUUACAAGCAUUUCCUGUAACAAUGCGCGGUUUGAAUCAGCUCGUGAGCGCGAGGCACGCAUGCGCUGGAGUUUCCCGCUGACAACCUGGAGGCAAGGCUGAUCGCUGCUCUUGUUCAGUUAUUUUCUCAAAGAAUUGCAAAAGAGAAUUUAGAAGAACAAUGAAAAGAUGAUAAAGGAGAUGAACAAAACUUCGACGACACAAAAUCAUUAAUCAAUGUCCACUUGUGCAAGACAUAAAGGAACGAUGGACAGCCCUAUUUCAUUCUUCUCAAGUGAAUGCAGAAUUUUAAAGAAUAACCACUGUGCAGCUGAAACCUGAACUGGUCCUCACUGGAUCUUCACUCUCCCAAGCUCUUGACAACGGUUUCAUGCCAAAGGAGGAGCACUUGAAAAAAGACUGAAGACUGAGAUGGAGCUACUGAAGGAUGAGCAGUCUUCUGUUGAUAUGACAAGAGAGGUGGUCAUCAGCUGCAUUAUAGAAUUCCUUAAGGAACAUGCAGGAGAGCUCAUCAAAGAAAUGAAAGACAAUGAAGACCAGACAGGAAUUGGACAGCUUGUGAUGGCAGCAAUUGGGACCAAGACGGGAGCUAUCAUUGACAGUCGAAAGGACAUUGGAACUGUUAUCGAGGGGGAAAAAAGUUGUUACAGGCCUUGAAGGUGUUCCCAGGGCUUGCUAUAUCCUCCUUGGUUUGACGUAUGCACUGAAUCUCCAUUAUCCCAGGAAUGUAAAGUAUAGUUUGAGGUAUUUCAGAAACGUAUCAUGGAGCUGGAUGCUUCAAAGCUGUCAAACAGAGUCUAGUCACUCAGGUCUAAACUGCUGACUUAAAAUAAGAUGGUUUUAUCUGUUCUGUGGUUCCAUGUUGCCAAACAAAGACCUCACAUAUUUGAACAUUUUGUGUCUAGAAAGAGAAAAAUGCCCCCAAAAAGGUAAUUGCAUUGUGUAUUUUAAAAUAUUUGUUCCUAAAAAGAAACACAAAAAGUGACUUUAUUCUGCAGACUUGAAUUUAUAUGCCUUAGAAAGUAAUUGUGGAUAAAAAAACAGUUGAUUCUGUUGAGAGACUAGUAAAUGUUCCCUCUGUCUGAGAAUACUAAUAGAUGCUACUGUAACUGUUGUUGGCAAUAAAGCAGAAGUUUGUAAUUCA